UACGGAGGGUGCAAGCGUUAUCCGGAUUCACUGGGUUUAAAGGGUGUGUAGGCGGGCUGUUAAGUCAGUGGUGAAAUCUCCGGGCUCAACCCGGAAACUGCCAUUGAUACUAAUGGUCUUGAAUUUUGUUGAGGUAGGCGGAAUAUGUCAUGUAGCGGUGAAAUGCUUAGAUAUGACAUAGAACACCAAUUGCGAAGGCAGCUGGCUACACAAAUAUUGACACUGAGGCACGAAAGCGUGGGGAUCAAACAGG
This 253-nucleotide ribosomal RNA is filed under the name uncultured bacterium. RNAcentral's name for it is "partial 16S ribosomal RNA". It matches the Rfam family "Bacterial small subunit ribosomal RNA", at positions 524 to 776 of the family's 1533-position model. The record is from RNAcentral.